GGACGCUCCUCUCUAUCAACCUUGAUGCUAACGAACCAAUCAUUUAGCAAUUUGGCUACCUCUUCGUCUUCAAAAGAUUCAACUUCCAUAACAUGACACCAAUGACAUGUACUGUAACCAAUUGAUAAGAAGAUUGGGACAUCUCUUUUACGAGCUUCAGCAAACGCUUCCUCACCCCAUGGAUACCAAUCAACCGGAUUAUG
Molecule: unclassified non-coding RNA, 203 nt
Filed under: Hevea brasiliensis (rubber tree)
Lineage: Eukaryota; Viridiplantae; Streptophyta; Magnoliopsida; Malpighiales; Euphorbiaceae
Source: RNAcentral